UGUAAGAAUCAUUGUGAAGGUAUGGGCUUGGCAAAUGAAUGGAAAGAUGAGCAAUGGGAGAGGAAAGAAUUGAAGAGGGCUGUGAGGUUUGAAGAAUGGGCUUCAAAAUAAUUGCUCUUCUAUGUCAAGUUAUAUCUAGUCCAGCAAGAGUAGUAUUGUGAAGAAAUAAUUUCCAUCGCAACAUCCCCCAUGAAGUGGCGCUGAAAGAUCACGAUAGCACAGUUCCAUGAUGUGAAAUACCACAAGUCUGCAAUUUUUCGGUCUUGAGAGUGUCGCUGGGCUGAGAGGAUGGAAAUCUUUCAGUAAUUAUACCAGUUUGUAUUCGUCUCACAUUUGGGACCAAAUACAAAUCCGAUCCACUCUUUCUCCCUGUGAAUAUUCAUAAAAAACAAAGUGCCAAUUCUGGUCUAAUCAUGUAUGGAACCAAAUAUGUUGAUGAGUCCUAAGUAUAUACUGUAUGUAUGUAUACAUAUGAAUAUAUAUAUUUGUACACACUAAUUUUGCUUG
This is a long non-coding RNA of Homo sapiens (human), 507 nucleotides long. Ensembl annotates it as DPH6 divergent transcript. Its record names the gene DPH6-DT. The record is from Ensembl. NCBI's taxonomy places the organism in Eukaryota, Metazoa, Chordata, Mammalia, Primates, Hominidae.